AAAGAGCUUGCUCUUUCCGGAAUUGAGUGGCAAACGGGUGAGUAACGCGUGAGCAACCUGCCUUUCAGUGGGGGACAACAGUUGGAAACGACUGCUAAUACCGCAUAGUAAGAAAGAUUCGCAUGUUUCUUUCUUGAAAGAUUUAUCGCUAUGAGAUGGACCCGCGUCUGAUUAGCUAGUUGGUAAGGUAACGGCUUACCAAGGCGACGAUCAGUAGCCGGUCUGAGAGGAUGAACGGCCACACUGGAACUGAGACACGGUCCAGACUCC
RNAcentral lists this ribosomal RNA (270 nucleotides) under uncultured bacterium. Its description in RNAcentral is "partial 16S ribosomal RNA". It matches the Rfam family "Bacterial small subunit ribosomal RNA", at positions 73 to 339 of the family's 1533-position model. The record is from RNAcentral.